Molecule: ribosomal RNA, 608 nt
Filed under: uncultured bacterium
Lineage: Bacteria
Description: bacterial SSU rRNA
Rfam family: Bacterial small subunit ribosomal RNA (bases 1-535)
Source: RNAcentral
CCUACGGGAGGCAGCAGUAAGGAAUAUUGGACAAUGCUCGCAAGAGUGAUCCAGCCAUGCCGCGUGCAGGAAGAAUGCCCUAUGGGUAGUAAACUGCUUUUGAACUAGAGAAAAUCCCAGUACGUGUACUGGGCUGAUAGUAUAGUUAGAAUAAGCAUCGGCUAACUUCGUGCCAGCAGCCGCGGUAAGACGAAGGAUGCAAGCGUUAUCCGGAUUCAUUGGGUUUAAAGGGAGCGUAGGUGGACUGAUAAGUCAGUGGUGAAAUCUCCGAGCUUAACUCGGAAAUUGCCAUUGAUACUGUUGGUCUUGAGUACAGUUGCUGUGGGCGGAAUAUGACAUGUAGUGGUGAAAUACAUAGAGAUGUCAUAGAACACCGAUUGCGAAGGCAGCUCACAAAGCUGUAACUGACACUGAGGCUCGAAAGUGCGGGGAUCAAACAGGAUUAGAUACCCUGGUAGUCCGCACCGUAAACGAUGAUUACUCGCUGCUAGGGGGCAACCUUUAGUGGCUUAGCGAAAGCGANAAGUAAUCCACGNGGAGUACGCGGCGACGAGAACGACGAAGAAGUUAGAGGCGNGAGAGNGCGACGACGACGACGAGGGAGGAGG